AGCAUAUCAAUGAGCGGAGGAAAAGAAACUAACAAGGAUUCCCCUAGUAACUGCGAGUGAAGCGGGAAAAGCUCAAAUUUAAAAUCUGGCAGCCUUUGGCUGUCCGAGUUGUAAUUUAGAGAAGUGGUAUCCGUGCUGGACCGUGUAUAAGUUUCCUGGAAAGGAGCAUCAUAGAGGGUGACAAUCCCGUCUUUGACACGGACUCCCAGUGCUUUGUGAUACGCUCUCAAAGAGUCGUGUUGUUUGGGAAUGCAGCACUAAAUGGGUGGUAAAUUCCAUCUAAAGCUAAAUAUUGGCGAGAGACCGAUAGCGAACAAGUACCGUGAGGGAAAGAUGAAAAGAGCUUUGGAAAGAGAGUUAAACAGUACGUGAAAUUGNUGAAAGGGAAACGCUUGAAGCCAGUCACGUUGGUUAGAAAUCAGCCUUGCUUUGCUUGGUGUACUUUNUAGCCGACGGGUCAACAUCAGUUUUGGNUGCUGGAAAAAGGCUUGGGGAAUGUGGCACCUUCGGGUGUGUUAUAGCCCUUUGUCAUAUACAAUGGCUGGGACUGAGGAACUCAGCGCGCCGCAAGGACGGACUUCGGUCACGUUCGCGCUUAGGAUGU
RNAcentral lists this ribosomal RNA (604 nucleotides) under uncultured fungus. Its description in RNAcentral is "eukaryotic LSU rRNA". It matches the Rfam family "Eukaryotic large subunit ribosomal RNA", at positions 37 to 626 of the family's 3401-position model. Lineage: Eukaryota; Fungi. The record is from RNAcentral.